RNAcentral lists this unclassified non-coding RNA (280 nucleotides) under uncultured fungus. Its description in RNAcentral is "partial contains small subunit ribosomal RNA, internal transcribed spacer 1, and 5.8S ribosomal RNA". The stretch from base 1 to 72 matches the Rfam family "Eukaryotic small subunit ribosomal RNA", at positions 1760 to 1831 of the family's 1831-position model. Lineage: Eukaryota; Fungi. The record is from RNAcentral.
CAAACUUGGUCAUUUAGAGGAAGUAAAAGUCGUAACAAGGUUUCCGUAGGUGAACCUGCGGAAGGAUCAUUAAAGAUUCUGGCCCUCGGCCGAACCUCAUCAGCGUGCAGCCGAGGCGCACAGCUGAUGAACCUUUCACACCCUGUGCACCAUUCGGUUGCGGCCCUGUCGGGACGCUCCCGCUUUUACACAUCUCACUACAGUCCAGAAUGUCAUAAACAUAAAAUUAACAACUUUCAACAACGGAUCUCUUGGCUCUCGCAUCGAUGAAGAACGCAGC